This is a long non-coding RNA of Echinops telfairi (small Madagascar hedgehog), 1538 nucleotides long. RefSeq lists it as uncharacterized. The transcript has 2 exons. The record is from RefSeq and is a predicted model, not a curated record. Lineage: Eukaryota; Metazoa; Chordata; Mammalia; Afrosoricida; Tenrecidae.
GGCCCCUUUCUUUCCUAAGGAGUAGAGGGAGCUGCUGGCCCGAAUGAUCCCACAGCUUCUCAAUCCAACCUUCCUUAUUCCGUUUCGAGAGGAUCCACUGAGCUGCUUGGCAGCCAAGGGUUUUCCAGAGGACGGAUAGAUGUGAGAAAAACUGAAAUAACGAAAUGCAAAUUUAAAUGUUAAAUGUCCAAGGGCCACACGUACGGAGCUCGAUUCAAUUUCUGUAACACACUCUAGCUAGCUGAUUUUGUGGGCACACUUUGCGUCUCUGAAAGAAGAAAGAAAGAGUACGAAUCAGGUCAGUAUUUUUUCCUUCAAGGGAAACAACAUAGAAAAUAAGAAUUUCAGGCAAACAAUACGAAAUGUAGGGCAUAUGUCAUACAUUUCUGCCACAGUGACCCCUCGAAAUUUAAAACUUUUCUGCACCCAACUAUAGUUCAAGCAUGGGUAAACAUUGCCCUCUGCUGUUGCCUGUCAAUACUACAACUUGACUUGCUUUUCUUUCUUCAAUUGGAUGCAGACUCAGAAGUAUCUGGUUACCAGGCUAAUUCCUCAUUCUUGCCUGGAGAUAGUGGAAAAGAAAAAAGAUCCUUUGGGAUCUCUUAGUACCUCUCCUUAUUGAAGGUAAAAUAUUAAUCGGAAGAAGACUAACCACAAGGCAGACAACAAAAUCAGGUCCUGAUCAUGCAAACAGCCUGUAUCACCCAAAUCCGACAUAUAAAAUCUAGUUCUAAAACUAUUGUCACCAAUUCCUUUGUUUAGAUCAGUUCAUUCACUUCUGCAGAGCCUUUCUCUGUAACAUAAUAAUGAGUGAACUGGUAACAGACUAGAACAUUAAUUUAACCCUUUAUUUUUCAAAUUGUUAAAAUACUGAAAACCUUAGAGGCUAUUUUUAAAAAUGCAUUUUUAAGCCUUUAGUCAAAAUCUUCCCUCUACUAGCAAGUUAUCCUCUUUUGUAUAAUUAUUUUGGUAUAAUUUCACCAUGAAAGAUUUUUAGAUGAAUUAAAAUGAAGCUGAUAUUUUCACACAUCAUUGUUACAUGUGAUUUUUAAGUAGUACUCUUUUUGUGUGUUUGGAUUGUUUAAUGCCCUUGAGUCGUAACUCCAAAUCCUAGCAUCCUGGUAUACAACAGAACAAAAGACUGCCAGGCGCUGCUUUUUUUUGCUAAUGUAGCAUAAUUCAAUCUUCUGAAAUAUCCAUCCAGAUACUCAGAUAUUAAUUACAGAUGAGAGCUUGUGUAGACAGUGUGUGGAGUAACCUUUAGAUUUAGUCUUUUUGUUAAGAAUUGCGUUCUUUAUGAGUGAACUUAUUUUAGUAGGUGGAAAUCACUCAGUCAAAUCUGCAACCUUGAGACUGUUUAAUCUGGGCAUCACAGUGUUUUACUUUUUAAAGAUGAGAUGUAGCUAAACAAAUACAUAAUACAGACAAUAUGUACAUAUUAAGGGCAUAGAAUAUUUUGGGGUCAAUUCCAAAAGAAGAUUAUCAAAACAUAUGUAGCUGGUGUUAAAAUUAUUUGAAUAAACACAAGUUUUACAUGA